ACCGCUUUGAGGAUAAUACAGUGCCACCAACACGGCCCGUUGCAAUGGACUGUGGGCUCUCCUUCUCCCUGGCAGACGGGAAUAAGACAUUUAUACGUGUUAAACCUCGCAAGGCUGCCGGUCCAGACGACAUCCCCAGCCGCGUCCUCAGAGCAUGCGCAGACCAGCUGGCUGGUGUGUUUACGGACAUAUUCAAUCUCUCCCCAUCACAGUCUGUUGUCCCCACAUGCUUCAGAUGGCCACCAUUGUUCCUGUACCCAAGAAAGCAAAGGUCCACAGACGAUGCAAUCGCCAUAACACUGCACACUGCCCUGUCUCAUCUGGACAAGAGGAAUACCUAUGUAAGAAAAGAAUGCUGUUCAUUGACUACAGCUCAGCAUUCAACGCCAGAGUACCCACCAUAGUACCCGUCUGGCUGCAUAACCGCCUGGCACGGCAACUGCAUCGCCCACAACCGCAAGGCUCUCCAGAGGGUGGUGCGGUCUGCACAGCGCAUCACCAGGGGCAAACUACGUGCCCUCCAGGACACCUACAGCACCUGAUGUCACAGGAAGGCCAAAAGAUCAUCAAGGACAACAACCACCCGAGCCAUUGUCUGUUCACCCCGCGACCAUCCAGAAGGCGAUGUCUUUACAGGUGCAUCAAAGCUGGGACCCGAGAGACUGAAAAACAGCUUAUAUCUCAAGACCAUCAGACUGUUAAACAGCCAUCACUAACACCCAGAGGCUGCAGCAUACAUACAGACUUGAGAUCAUUGGCCAUUUUAAUAAAUGGAUCACUAGUCACUUUAAUAAUGUGACUUUAAUAUGUUUACGUAUCUUGCAUUACUCAUCUCAUAUGUAUAUACUGUAUUUUAUACCAUCUAUUGCAUCUUGUCAUUGCUCAUCCUUAUAUUUAUAUGUAUAUUUUAUUAUUCCAUUCCUUUACUUAGAUGUGUGUGUAUUGGGUAGUUGUGGAAUUGUUAGAUUACAUGUUAGAUAUUGCUGCACUGUCGGAACUAGAAGCACAAGCACUUUGCUACACUCACAAUAACAUCUUGCUAACCAUAUGUAUGUCACAAAUCCAAUUUGAUUUGAACCUGUUAUUACUGUAAAUGGGGCCACACAUCUGAUGAAGAACAUCGGAUGAAGUGUUACCUUAAUUGUGAGAGCUAAUUACUCAAAUUACUUAACGAAUACCUCUGAAUGCCUCAGCUAAGAUUUGCAAAGAGGUUUAGAAAGUGUAGAUCAAUCACAAUACUUUUUAAUGGUUGUCAAACCUUUUAAAUGUUUAAAUGUUUAAUGGUCAUGGUACAGAGGACUGAAUGAAAAGUGUAUUGUGAAAGUCAAGGAAAUUACCCCAUUGAAAUGACAUAAAUUGUAUUACUUAUCUUGCCUAUUUAAAGGUUAUUGUCUCCAUGUAUAGAUAUACUGUAAACAGUGAGAUGUUAACAUUGAA
Long non-coding RNA from Oncorhynchus keta (chum salmon), 1437 nucleotides. RefSeq lists it as uncharacterized. The transcript has 2 exons. Lineage: Eukaryota; Metazoa; Chordata; Actinopteri; Salmoniformes; Salmonidae. The record is from RefSeq and is a predicted model, not a curated record.